UAACCUUUUUGGCUUCUUGUCAACACUGUCAUUUUAAGCAGCCAAUUUUCUGAUAGCUUUUUUCUAAUAUACUUUCCUUGCCUAUUUGUUAUGAUGAUUUUCUUGUUGAUUAUGUUUGUCGAUUUUGUUGGCAGGGUUGUCGUUCUUGAUACUGUCUCUGAGGCCCCCUUAUUGGCCUUUCCCUAAGAAAUUUGAAUGAUUUCUUCACCUUGAAUUAUAAGCAUUUGAAUAUGGAUAUUUAUGUUGACGGUUGUUCUAAUUGUUAAGGAAAUUUAUCGAUUCCACCUGUUUUUAUUUUACGAGAUGUGAUUCAAAGAGACUGAUAAGAAGUUUCAGGCAUAGAACUAGUGAUGAUGAAUCCUAUUAGAACGUAGUUGUUCAUUGAUUCUGAAUGAAUUGGUUCACCUUUGUCAUGAAUAUGGUUCUAUAAAUAAUUGUUCCUCUUGAGAUGAAACUCUUGCAAUUUAAUUAGUGUUUGGGGGGUUUUCUACCAUGUGAAUGUUCUUUUUGUCUAAAUAAAGAGGAAAUCUUCAAUUAGUUGAUGAAAAAAAUUGAAAGAAGAAAUGCAAUUAAAAUAAUAUUUAGCACAGUUUUAGAAAGCUUUGUUACAAUUUGUAUGAUAAAGCAGAAACAAUAUGAUAAUCAAAAAGAUAAUCAUUUGGAUAGUUGAUAGCAUAGUUGAUUUGAAGAAAUUAAUCAUCCGAAAGUUUUGUUACAAAUCACUAUCUU
RNAcentral lists this long non-coding RNA (729 nucleotides) under Lathyrus oleraceus (garden pea). Its description in RNAcentral is "Pisum sativum (pea) long non-coding RNA (PSAT_LNC023435)". The record is from RNAcentral. Lineage: Eukaryota; Viridiplantae; Streptophyta; Magnoliopsida; Fabales; Fabaceae.